Molecule: ribosomal RNA, 496 nt
Filed under: uncultured bacterium
Lineage: Bacteria
Description: partial 16S ribosomal RNA
Rfam family: Bacterial small subunit ribosomal RNA
Source: RNAcentral
AUGCACGCUGGCGGCGUGCCUAAUACAUGCAAGUCGAGCGAACAGACGAGGAGCUUGCUCCUCUGACGUUAGCGGCGGACGGGUGAGUAACACGUGGAUAACCUACCUAUAAGACUGGGAUAACUUCGGGAAACCGGAGCUAAUACCGGAUAAUAUAUUGAACCGCAUGGUUCAAUAGUGAAAGACGGUUUUGCUGUCACUUAUAGAUGGAUCCGCGCCGCAUUAGCUAGUUGGUAAGGUAACGGCUUACCAAGGCAACGAUGCGUAGCCGACCUGAGAGGGUGAUCGGCCACACUGGAACUGAGACACGGUCCAGACUCCUACGGGAGGCAGCAGUAGGGAAUCUUCCGCAAUGGGCGAAAGCCUGACGGAGCAACGCCGCGUGAGUGAUGAAGGUCUUCGGAUCGUAAAACCCUGUUAUUAGGGAAGAACAAAUGUGUAAGUAACUAUGCACGUCUUGACGGUACCUAAUCAGAAAGCCACGGCUAACUACGUG